UGGUGGAGUGAUUUGUCUGGUUAAUUCCGUUAACGAACGAGACCUUAUCCUGCUAAAUAGUUGCUGGAAGUUUUCUUCCACGGCAACUUCUUAGAGGGACUAUUGAUGUUUAAUCAAUGGAAGUUUGAGGCAAUAACA
RNAcentral lists this ribosomal RNA (138 nucleotides) under uncultured eukaryote. Its description in RNAcentral is "partial 18S ribosomal RNA". It matches the Rfam family "Eukaryotic small subunit ribosomal RNA", at positions 1299 to 1458 of the family's 1831-position model. The record is from RNAcentral.